GGUUUGGUUAGAGGUGUUCGACAUCUCUUGUUUAUCUCUGCAGAAAAGUAUUUGAAUGAAACUGUGGUUUCUCGUAUGCCAAAUAUGCAGAGUUAGAGAUUAGUCUCUAGCCAAGUCUAGGUUCAUAACCAUAAAGGCUGACUCUCGGGUCAGACUUGAACCAUGGUCUCAAAUCAGGUAGGAAGACCCGCUGAACUUAA
RNAcentral lists this unclassified non-coding RNA (200 nucleotides) under soil metagenome. Its description in RNAcentral is "partial contains internal transcribed spacer 2 and large subunit ribosomal RNA". The record is from RNAcentral.